This 138-nucleotide ribosomal RNA is filed under the name uncultured eukaryote. RNAcentral describes it as "partial 18S ribosomal RNA". It matches the Rfam family "Eukaryotic small subunit ribosomal RNA", at positions 1299 to 1458 of the family's 1831-position model. The record is from RNAcentral.
UGGUGGAGUGAUUUGUCUGGUUAAUUCCGUUAACGAACGAGACCUUAGCCUACUAACUAGUCGAUUCAAUCCCGAUUGACUUCGACUUCUUAGAGGGACUUUGUGGUCACAAACACAAGGAAGUUUGAGGCAAUAACA